RNAcentral lists this long non-coding RNA (726 nucleotides) under Pomacea canaliculata. Its description in RNAcentral is "uncharacterized LOC112576310, transcript variant X2". The record is from RNAcentral. Lineage: Eukaryota; Metazoa; Mollusca; Gastropoda; Architaenioglossa; Ampullariidae.
UACUUUAAUCAUCAGGUAUAAAACCGUAUUUCGUAGUCGGUUUAUCGCACUGCUCCUUCCGACCAAAAUAAGUUUUGGGUGUAGCAGAUCCUAAGGGUCCUUGAACAAGUCACGACUAUGAAGGUACAAGAACUGCUGUUCGUGCUGGCGGCUGUCUUGAUCACCAUGGCAACCGCAGAGCCCACGGCUAGAUACCCGUGCACCGGUCUUUCCCGUUACAUGCCAUACGACAUCGACCCGCAUCGCUACGUCCUGUGUGACGACAUCUACGGUCCGCUCAUCCUCUUCUGUCCUGUCAACCACGUCUGGGAACAGUCCCUCCAGACGUGCGUGCCAUCCGUUGACGUGGUGAUUCCCGUGGAUACUACGCGGCUUCCAUUCGACAUUGGUACCGAAACCGGCCCCGGCAUCCUCAUUUCCACUGGGUAUGCGGCCCCGUGCACCCAGCAAAACAUCGUACUGAACAAGUUGCUCUUCGCGUAUACUUAUGAUGAGACAAAGUAUAUCCGUUGCGACCGGUCGGGGGAUGCUUACCUUAAGUCCUGCCCGAUAGGCUUCCACUUCCAUGCCGAAUUCCUCAACUGCCUUUAAUCUCUGAACAAUUCUUCGUGCCCGGAAUCAGGGAAAGUUCUAAGUGUAUGAAAUAGAAUAGAUGAUUUACUAUUUUAACUUCAGACGAAUUAAAAGUGUAAUGAACUGUACACGCUAGUAAAAAGAUUAAUAUUA